Long non-coding RNA from Cheilinus undulatus (humphead wrasse), 745 nucleotides. RefSeq lists it as uncharacterized. The transcript has 3 exons. The record is from RefSeq and is a predicted model, not a curated record. Lineage: Eukaryota; Metazoa; Chordata; Actinopteri; Labriformes; Labridae.
UUUACUUCAACCCUAAGUCUGUGCUUCAUAUUCUGUAUGUAUCGCUAUAAGUGUUCAAAAUAGCACUACACAUGGUCCGUUUUGUUGCUUCAAAGAAUUGACACCGGCUGUUCGUCAGCUGGCUUAAUUUCAGACACAGGACUAAAUAGUUUAUUGAGGGAAAACUUGUUCUCCUAAAGUUAAUACACUACUUAUUCUCGGACUAAUAAGGAGUGGGAGGACUCACCGGAUUUCGACUCAUCUCAUGUCAACCCAACCUCUCCCUGCAUCGGAUCAGCACACGUGGGAAGCCCAGGCCUUGAAGAUAGGAUGAAUACAAAGAUGAACAUGUUUUCCAGACUCUUAGUUUUAUGACCUUGACAUUCAACAAUCUGCUCAUGACAAGUGCUUAAUCUUUUGGCAUGGCUGUGAUAAUGACUCCCCCUUCCUUGUGAGAAUCUAUGAUCCCCAAGCGGGGCACUAAGAGGAGGAGGACCAGAGGCAAGAAUGCAUGUCUGACUGUGGAGAGAGACGCAGGCAAAGGGAUGGAGAGAAAGCAAACCGACAUCAGGGGGCGAGGACAGGCAACAAAGAUUCUGGCAAAAUGUUGAAUCUGCCAACAUCUUGGUUUAAUUUUGCAUCUGGGUCCACGCCAGAGCGAAGGGAUGAGAGCAAAGACUUCACAUCAUAUCCAAGUCUGAAGAUCAUAUCACAGUCCCGCAGAUGGACUCUGAGUUGAACUCCUUGUUUAUGACAUAUGAACAAA